RNAcentral lists this ribosomal RNA (709 nucleotides) under Bacillus haynesii. Its description in RNAcentral is "bacterial SSU rRNA". It matches the Rfam family "Bacterial small subunit ribosomal RNA", at positions 98 to 775 of the family's 1533-position model. Lineage: Bacteria; Bacillati; Bacillota; Bacilli; Caryophanales; Bacillaceae. The record is from RNAcentral.
GCGGACGGGUGAGUAACACGUGGGUAACCUUGCCUGUAAGAGUCGGGAUAACUCCGGGAAGCCGGGGCUAAUACCGGAUGCUUGAUUGAACCGCAUGGUUCAAUUAUAAAAGGUGGCUUUUAGCAACCAUUUACAGAUGGACCCGCGGCGCAUUAGCUAGUUGGUGAGGUAACGGUUCACCAAGGCAACGAUGCGUAGCCGACCUGAAAGGGUGAUCGGCCACACUGGGACUGAAACACGGCCCAAACUCCUACGGGAGGCAGCAGUAGGGAAUCUUCCGCAAUGGACGAAAGUCUGACGGAGCAACGCCGCGUGAGUGAUGAAGGUUUUCGGAUCGUAAAACUCUGUUGUUAGGGAAAAAACAAGUACCGUUCGAAUAGGGGGGUACCUUGACGGUACCUAACCAAAAAGCCACGGCUAACUACGUGCCAGCAGCCGCGGUAAUACGUAGGUGGCAAGCGUUGUCCGGAAUUAUUGGGCGUAAAGCGCGCGCAGGCGGUUUCUUAAGUCUGAUGGGAAAGCCCCCGGCUCAACCGGGGGAGGGUCAUUGGAAACUGGGGAACUUGAGUGCAAAAAAGGGAGAGUGGAAUUCCCCGUGAAGCGGGGGAAAUGCGUAAAGAUGUGGGAGGGAACACCAGUGGGCGAAAGGCGAACUCUUCUUGGUCUUGUAACUGGACGCUGAGGGCGCGAAGCGUGGGGGAGCGAACAG